Molecule: ribosomal RNA, 648 nt
Filed under: uncultured cyanobacterium
Lineage: Bacteria; Bacillati; Cyanobacteriota
Description: bacterial SSU rRNA
Rfam family: Bacterial small subunit ribosomal RNA
Source: RNAcentral
ACGGUCCUUUCGGGGAUAGUGGCGGACGGGUGAGUAACGCGUGAGAAUCUGCCUUCAGGACGGGAACAACAACUGGAAACGGUUGCUAAAGCCCGAUGUGCCUUUCGGGGUGAAAUACUUGUAGCCUGAAGAUGAGCUCGCGUCCGAUUAGCUAGUUGGUGGAGUAAUGGUUUACCAAGGCGACGAUCGGUAACUGGUCUGAGAGGAUGACCAGUCACACUGGGACUGAGACACGGCCCAGACUCCUACGGGAGGCAGCAGUGGGGAAUUUUCCGCAAUGGGCGAAAGCCUGACGGAGCAAUACCGCGUGAGGGAGGAAGGCUCUUGGGUCGUAAACCUCUUUUAUCAGGGAAGAAACAAAUGACGGUACCUGAUGAAUCAGCAUCGGCUAACUCCGUGCCAGCAGCCGCGGUAAUACGGAGGAUGCAAGCGUUAUCCGGAAUUAUUGGGCGUAAAGCGUCCGCAGGUGGUUUUGAAAGUUUGCUGUCAAAGCGCGGAGCUUAACUUCGUACCGGCAGUGAAAACUCCAAGACUAGAGUUUGGUAGGGGUCACGGGAAUUCCCAGUGUAGCGGUGAAAUGCGUAGAGAUUGGGAAGAACACCAGCGGCGAAAGCGCGUGACUGGGCCUGAACUGACACUCAUGGACGA